UGCCAGCAGCCGCGGUAAUACGGAGGGUGCAAGCGUUGUUCGGAAUUAUUGGGCGUAAAGCGCGUGUAGGCGGUUCGUUAAGUCAGAUGUGAAAGCCCACAGCUCAACUGUGGAACUGCAUUUGAAACUGGCAAUCUAGAGUGCUGGAGAGGGAAGGGGAAUUCCAGGUGUAGAGGUGAAAUUCGUAGAUAUCUGGAGGAAUACCGGUGGCGAAGGCGCCUUCCUGGACAGACACUGACGCUGAGACGCGAAAGCGUGGGGAGCAAACAGGAUUAGAUA
Molecule: ribosomal RNA, 279 nt
Filed under: uncultured bacterium
Lineage: Bacteria
Description: partial 16S ribosomal RNA
Rfam family: Bacterial small subunit ribosomal RNA
Source: RNAcentral